Thunnus maccoyii (southern bluefin tuna) is the source of this 905-nucleotide long non-coding RNA. RefSeq lists it as uncharacterized. The record is from RefSeq and is a predicted model, not a curated record. The transcript has 3 exons. Lineage: Eukaryota; Metazoa; Chordata; Actinopteri; Scombriformes; Scombridae.
UUUGUUGAUUUCAACAAACCGGAGCACAUCUGCCAGCCAGUCUCUGUCUCCACAAAGGCCACACUACAACCUGCUCAGCCUUUUGUCACAGAUGUCCAGAGCUGCGUUGAUAAGGCAACUUCCAUUGAGUAACAUUAAGUUACUAUUUUUAUUCUGCCUUAAGCGUUAAUAUGUAAGGUCCAAUGACACAAACCAAUGAUGGAUGAUGAGCAUAGAAAAACAUGUGCUGUGUGAAGGAACAUCCUUUGUGCUUGUGCUCGCUGGAGUCGUCUCCGCCUCCUACAGUUUCAACCUUCAGUAUCAAAAUGAUGCACAGUGGAAUUCAUUCAGAGAACCGGCGUUGACAUUUAUUCUUGAGGGUGGCGAAAAAGCAAGUCAUGAGAAUGAGAAAGAGAGCGGGAAGAUGGUCAAAAAGAAGGCGACAUCAGUGAAAUCGGCAUGUCUGCACGCUCAUCAAGAAGCUCAGCGACUUCAAGUAGGACUUUGUCUGAUCUUUCACACACACACGCAACCACCCACUAUCUCACCCAGACACUCAUUCAAACAUGCAUUCUCUUAUUUACUCACUCGCUCGCUCACUCACUCAGUGAAACCCCAGUGUCUUUUCUUAUUCAGACCGUUAGAACUCAGGUUUUUUACAUUGUUCCGAGAAAAAAAACAAAAAACAGUUGCACAUUUGUUCUGUGUUCACUUUACUGUAAUUCACUCUUGCAAACUAGACUGCUGCUGAUCUGCAGAAGGUUAAAAAACAGUUUGAUGUUCCUUUCUCACAAAAACGAAAUUGUCACAGUGAGUUACCCGAUGUUGUAUGCGCUCAUUUAAAUUAAAAAAUUGUCAAUCUGUUGAAAGAAGGAAACAAAGAAAAGAAAAGUACAGUAUUCAGCUCUAGUUUUGCUUGUGUUGCA